This 494-nucleotide ribosomal RNA is filed under the name uncultured bacterium. RNAcentral describes it as "partial 16S ribosomal RNA". It matches the Rfam family "Bacterial small subunit ribosomal RNA", at positions 28 to 506 of the family's 1533-position model. The record is from RNAcentral.
GACGAACGCUGGCGGCGUGCUUAACACAUGCAAGUCGAACGGAAAGGCCCUGCUUUUGUGGGGUGCUCGAGUGGCGAACGGGUGAGUAACACGUGGAUAACCUACCUAUAAGACUGGGAUAACUUCGGGAAACCGGAGCUAAUACCGGAUAACAUGUUGAACCGCAUGGUUCAACAGUGAAAGACGGUCUUGCUGUCACUUAUAGAUGGAUCCGCGCCGAAUUAGCUAGUUGGUAAGGUAACGGCUUACCAAGGCAACGAUGCGUAGCCGACCUGAGAGGGUGCUCGGCCACACUGGAACUGAGACACGGUCCAGACUCCUACGGGAGGCAGCAGUAGGGAAUCUUCCGCAAUGGGCGAAAGCCUGACGGAGCAACGCCGCGUGAGUGAAGAAGGUCUUCGGAUCGUAAAACUCUGUUAUUAGGGAAGAACAAAUGUGUAAGUAACGAUGCACGUCUUGACGGUACCUAAGCAGAAAGCCACGGCUAACUACGU